GUGGAAUUGUGAUAAAGAAGUCAAUACGUCCUUGCUCAAUACGUUGAAGGCGUCAUCCUUAGCCUAAACAUGUGUUACUGUAAUCUGAAUUUCAAAAUGACUGAGUGACGGUUUUUUUAGACGUACUUGUCAACUCCGUCGUAGCGAAUCACAUAACUUUGACAUAAUCAAUAAUAUAUUACAGUGAAUACGAGCGAAAAAUAUCUUUAUAAGUGGAGAACUGUCGCAUUAAAAUUAAAUACACAGCAAAAUUCACAAAGUCUAGGC
This 267-nucleotide long non-coding RNA is filed under the name Mytilus galloprovincialis (Mediterranean mussel). The record is from RNAcentral. Lineage: Eukaryota; Metazoa; Mollusca; Bivalvia; Mytilida; Mytilidae.